Molecule: ribosomal RNA, 690 nt
Filed under: Paenisporosarcina sp.
Lineage: Bacteria; Bacillati; Bacillota; Bacilli; Caryophanales; Caryophanaceae
Description: bacterial SSU rRNA
Rfam family: Bacterial small subunit ribosomal RNA
Source: RNAcentral
GCCUAAUACAUGCAAGUCGAGCGGAAUGAAGAAGAAGCUUGCUUCUUCUGAUUUUAGCGGCGGACGGGUGAGUAACACGUGGGCAACCUACCUUGUAGAUUGGGAUAACUCCGGGAAACCGGGGCUAAUACCGAAUAAUCCAUUUUGCUUCAUGGCGAAAUGUUAAAAGGCGGCUUCGGCUGUCACUGCAAGAUGGGCCCGCGGCGUAUUAGCUAGUUGGUAGGGUAACGGCCUACCAAGGCGACGAUACGUAGCCGACCUGAGAGGGUGAUCGGCCACACUGGGACUGAGACACGGCCCAGACUCCUACGGGAGGCAGCAGUAGGGAAUCUUCCACAAUGGACGAAAGUCUGAUGGAGCAACGCCGCGUGAGUGAAGAAGGUUUUCGGAUCGUAAAACUCUGUUGUAAGGGAAGAACACGUACGAGAGUAACUGCUCGUACCUUGACGGUACCUUAUUAGAAAGCCACGGCUAACUACGUGCCAGCAGCCGCGGUAAUACGUAGGUGGCAAGCGUUGUCCGGAAUUAUUGGGCGUAAAGCGCGCGCAGGCGGUCCUUUAAGUCUGAUGUGAAAGCCCACGGCUCAACCGUGGAGGGUCAUUGGAAACUGGAGGACUUGAGUACAGAAGAGGAAAGCGGAAUUCCACGUGUAGCGGUGAAAUGCGUAGAGAUGUGGAGGAACACCAGUGG